UGCAGUCGACGGCAGCACGGGUGCUUGCACCUGGUGGCGAGUGGCGAACGGGYGAKUAAUACAUCGGAACAUGUCCUGUAGUGGGGGAUAGCCCGGCGAAAGCCGGAUUAAUACCGCAUACGAUCYAYGGAUGAAAGCGGGGGACCUUCGGGCCUCGCGCUAUAGGGUUGGCCGAUGGCUGAUUAGCUAGUUGGUGGGGUAAAGGCCUACCAAGGCGACGAUCAGUAGCUGGUCUGAGAGGACGACCAGCCACACUGGGACUGAGACACGGCCCAGACUCCUACGGGAGGCAGCAGUGGGGAAUUUUGGACAAUGGGCGAAAGCCUGAUCCAGCAAUGCCGCGUGUGUGAAGAAGGCCUUCGGGUUGUAAAGCACUUUUGUCCGGAAAGAAAUCCUUGGUUCUAAUAUAGCCGGGGGAUGACGGUACCGGAAGAAUAAGCACCGGCUAACUACGUGCCAGCAGCCGCGGUAAUACGUAGGGUGCGAGCGUUAAUCGGAAUUACUGGGCGUAAAGCGUGCGCAGGCGGUUUGCUAAGACCGAUGUGAAAUCCCCGGGCUCAACCUGGGAACUGCAUUGGUGACUGGCAGGCUAGAGUAUGGCAGAGGGGGGUAGAAUUCCACGUGUAGCAGUGAAAUGCGUAGAGAUGU
RNAcentral lists this ribosomal RNA (648 nucleotides) under Burkholderia sp. RZ3MS22. RNAcentral describes it as "bacterial SSU rRNA". It matches the Rfam family "Bacterial small subunit ribosomal RNA", at positions 56 to 699 of the family's 1533-position model. The record is from RNAcentral. Lineage: Bacteria; Pseudomonadati; Pseudomonadota; Betaproteobacteria; Burkholderiales; Burkholderiaceae.